CCUACGGGUGGCAGCAGUGAGGAAUAUUGGUCAAUGGCCGGAAGGCUGAACCAGCCAUGCCGCUUGAAGGUCAGUGCCCUAUGGGCGUUAAACUUCUUUUGUGCGGGAGCAAUAAUGGUCACGUGUGGCCAGACGAGAGUACCGUACGAAUAAGCAUCGGCUAACCCCGUGCCAGCAGCCGCGGUAAUACGGGGGAUGCAAGCGUUAUCCGGAUUUAUUGGGUUUAAAGGGUGCGUAGGCUGUGAGGUAAGUCAGCGGUGAAAUGCCCCCGCUCAAAGGGGUGAAGUGCCAUUGAUACUGCCUGGCUUGAAUGCGGAUGCCGUGGGAGGAAUGUGUGGUGUAGCGGUGAAAUGCAUAGAUAUCACACAGAACACCGAUUGCGAAGGCAUCUCACGAAUCCGCGAUUGACGCUGAUGCACGAAAGCGUGGGUAUCAAACAGGAUUAGAUACCCUUGUAGUC
Molecule: ribosomal RNA, 460 nt
Filed under: uncultured bacterium
Lineage: Bacteria
Description: partial 16S ribosomal RNA
Rfam family: Bacterial small subunit ribosomal RNA
Source: RNAcentral